This 401-nucleotide ribosomal RNA is filed under the name uncultured bacterium. RNAcentral describes it as "bacterial SSU rRNA". It matches the Rfam family "Bacterial small subunit ribosomal RNA", at positions 362 to 776 of the family's 1533-position model. The record is from RNAcentral.
UAUUGGACAAUGGGGGAAACCCUGAUCCAGCGACGCCGCGUGAGUGAAGAAGUAUUUCGGUAUGUAAAGCUCUGUCAGCAGGGAAGAAAGAAAUGCCGGUACCUGACCAAGAAGCCCCGGCUAACUACGUGCCACCAGCCGCGGUAAUACGUAGGGGGCAAGCGUUAUCCGGAAUUACUGGGUGUAAAGGGAGCGUGGACGGUAAUGUAAGUCUGGAGUGAAAGGCGGGGGGCCCGACCCCCGGACUGCUCUGGAAACUAUGUUACUAGAGUGCAGGAGAGGUAAGCGGAAUUCCUAGUGUAACGGUGAAAUGCGUAGAUAUUAGGAGGAACACCAGCGGCGAAGGCGGCUUACUGGACUGUAACUGACGUUGAGGCUCGAAAGCGUGGGGAGCAAACAGG